RNAcentral lists this ribosomal RNA (723 nucleotides) under Streptosporangium sp. SpC090624SC_15. Its description in RNAcentral is "bacterial SSU rRNA". It matches the Rfam family "Bacterial small subunit ribosomal RNA", at positions 44 to 787 of the family's 1533-position model. The record is from RNAcentral. Lineage: Bacteria; Bacillati; Actinomycetota; Actinomycetes; Streptosporangiales; Streptosporangiaceae.
GUGCUUAACACAUGCAAGUCGAGCGGAAAGGCCCUUCGGGGUACUCGAGCGGCGAACGGGUGAGUAACACGUGAGUAACCUGCCCCUGACUCUGGGAUAAGCCCGGGAAACUGGGUCUAAUACCGGAUACGACACCUCCUGGCAUCGGGUGGGUGUGGAAAGUUUUUUCGGUUGGGGAUGGACUCGCGGCCUAUCAGCUUGUUGGUGGGGUAACGGCCUACCAAGGCGACGACGGGUAGCCGGCCUGAGAGGGCGACCGGCCACACUGGGACUGAGACACGGCCCAGACUCCUACGGGAGGCAGCAGUGGGGAAUAUUGCGCAAUGGGCGAAAGCCUGACGCAGCGACGCCGCGUGGGGGAUGACGGCCUUCGGGUUGUAAACCUCUUUCAGCAGGGACGAAGUUGACGUGUACCUGCAGAAGAAGCGCCGGCUAACUACGUGCCAGCAGCCGCGGUAAUACGUAGGGCGCAAGCGUUGUCCGGAAUUAUUGGGCGUAAAGAGCUCGUAGGUGGCUUGUCACGUCGGGUGUGAAAGCUUGGGGCUUAACUCCAGGUCUGCAUUCGAUACGGGCUGGCUAGAGGUAGGUAGGGGAGAACGGAAUUCCUGGUGUAGCGGUGAAAUGCGCAGAUAUCAGGAGGAACACCGGUGGCGAAGGCGGUUCUCUGGGCCUUACCUGACGCUGAGGAGCGAAAGCGUGGGGAGCGAACAGGAUUAGAUACCC